RNAcentral lists this transfer RNA (73 nucleotides) under Candidatus Woesebacteria bacterium. RNAcentral's name for it is "tRNA-Arg". It matches the Rfam family "tRNA". Rfam says of the family: Transfer RNA (tRNA) molecules are approximately 80 nucleotides in length. Their secondary structure includes four short double-helical elements and three loops (D, anti-codon, and T loops). Further hydrogen bonds mediate the characteristic L-shaped molecular structure. tRNAs have two regions of fundamental functional importance: the anti-codon, which is responsible for specific mRNA codon recognition, and the 3' end, to which the tRNAs corresponding amino acid is attached (by aminoacyl-tRNA synthetases). tRNAs cope with the degeneracy of the genetic code in two manners: having more than one tRNA (with a specific anti-codon) for a particular amino acid; and 'wobble' base-pairing, i.e. permitting non-standard base-pairing at the 3rd anti-codon position. The record is from RNAcentral. Lineage: Bacteria; Candidatus Woeseibacteriota.
GCCUCAGUAGCUCAGUGGAUAGAGCAGUGGUCUUCGGAACCAAAGGUCGGGGGUUCGAAUCCCUCCUGGGGCA